Non-coding RNA from Coturnix japonica (Japanese quail), 659 nucleotides. NCBI's taxonomy places the organism in Eukaryota, Metazoa, Chordata, Aves, Galliformes, Phasianidae. The record is from RefSeq and is a predicted model, not a curated record.
GGUAUUGGGAUCAAUAGGUAUUGGGGUCAAUAGGUAUUGGGGUCGAUAGGUAUUGGGGUCGAUAGGUAUUGGGAUCGAUAGGUAUUGGGGUCGAUAGGUAUUGGGGUCGAUAGGUAUUGGGAUCAAUAGGUAUUGGGGUCGAUAGGUAUUGGGAUCAAUAGGUGUUGGGGUCGAUAGGUAUUGGGAUCAAUAGAUGUUGGGAUCAAUAGAUGUUGGGAUCAAUAGGUAUUGGGAUCAAUAGGUAUUGGGGUCGAUAGGUAUUGGGGUCGAUAGGUAUUGGGAUCGAUAGGUGUUGGGGUCAAUAGGUGUUGGGGUCAAUAGGUGUUGGGGUCAAUAGGUAUUGGGAUCAGUAGGUGUUGGGGUCAAUAGGUAUUGGGACUGGGGGGUAUUGGGGUCAAUAGGUGUUGGGGUCAGUAGGUGUUGGGGUCAGUAGGUGUUGGGGUCAGUAGGUAUUGGGGUCAAUAGGUGUUGGGAUCAGUAGGUAUUGGGGUCGAUAGGUGUUGGGGUCGAUAGGUGUUGGGGUCGAUAGGUGUUGGGGUCGAUAGGUAUUGGGAUCAGUAGGUAUUGGGAUCAGUAGGUAUUGGGAUCAGUAGGUAUUGGGGUCAAUAGGUAUUGGGGUCAAUAGGUAUUGGGAUCAAUAGGUAUUGGGGUCAAUAGGU